ACUCUGUCAUGUAUAUAUGUAUACACACACACACAUGUAUGCAUAUAUAUGUGUGUGUGUAUACAUACAUAUAUGCUCGUAUAUAUG
RNAcentral lists this microRNA precursor (87 nucleotides) under Notamacropus eugenii (tammar wallaby). RNAcentral describes it as "miRNA (ENSMEUG00000017764.1)". The record is from RNAcentral. Lineage: Eukaryota; Metazoa; Chordata; Mammalia; Diprotodontia; Macropodidae.